This 253-nucleotide ribosomal RNA is filed under the name uncultured bacterium. Its description in RNAcentral is "partial 16S ribosomal RNA". It matches the Rfam family "Bacterial small subunit ribosomal RNA", at positions 524 to 776 of the family's 1533-position model. The record is from RNAcentral.
UACGGAGGGGGUUAGCGUUGUUCGGAAUUACUGGGCGUAAAGCGCGCGUAGGCGGACUGGAAAGUUGGGGGUGAAAUCCCGGGGCUCAACCCCGGAACGGCCUCCAAAACUAUCAGUCUAGAGUUCGAGAGAGGUGAGCGGAAUUCCGAGUGUAGAGGUGAAAUUCGUAGAUAUUCGGAGGAACACCAGUGGCGAAGGCGGCUCACUGGCUCGAUACCGACGCUGAGGUGCGAAAGUGUGGGGAGCAAACAGG